AGGCCGUGUCAAAGUCAGGUAUUCAAUUCCUCCUGGGAAUAAACUUAUCAGAAAGAACGUAUCAGUUCCAUUUAUUGGAAAACGUUUUGGCUGGCAAAAAACUUGUAAGUAAGUGCAUAUCUUUUGGUUAAUGGCUUCUAUUCAAGUGCGAAAAUGUGAGGUCAGUGACACUAGACAGUGGGCUGAGCAUGCCAAUAACACACACACCCUUUGUAUAUCGUAAUACAUUGAAAUCCCUUGUGUAAGAUCUGUAGGGGUUCAACUCCCUCAGUCUGUCCGGCAGUCUGCAACUGUCUCUGCAGACUUACAUGUGUCUAUGUAUAUGGCUAAUCCAGGCAGUAUUACAUUAUUCCAUUUAGCCACCGAAGGUUGAGUGGGGAGUUGCAGACACACAUUUGUCGCACGGAUGAGCAAGUACUGAGAUGUAGGCGGUUCAAAAUAACUGACAAGUAAUUCAUGAGGUUUGAAACUCCAGUUGACUAAAACAAAAUAAAAAAUGGUCGGAACUCUUGCUCUCCGCCAUCUAAUCCACAAACAAACAAUUACCUAAUUAAAGGCUACCUAUCGGCGUCCUAGUGAUGCAGAACCCAGGAGCAUAAUAUACGUCACACACAGUCAUCAAGUAACACAUCUCAGUCUCCUUUGGGAUACACAAUCAAAGGUAAAUAAACAAUUUUCAUAUUCAUAUUUCAUAUUUCAUGUUUGUAUUUAAUAUUAAUAUUUCUUAUGUCAAGAUAUCAUAAGCUAACGCAAAAUAUCUCUAACAGGUUUUCUUAUCUAAAUUCAAAAAGCUUUCAAUAUGGCUCCAACACUGUGUGUAGACGCUUUCUGCUUUCCACCAGACACGGUUGCAUUUAAGUCCUUUCAUCUCUUACGUGCCAGCAUCAAUUCAGCAGGGCAUCCUAGAGGACAGACUGGAGGUGAAUGAAAAGGUCUCGGGAUUGGCUAUGAUCCUGACAGUGAAGGGAAGAAUAACUGUGAAGAAAUGCCGACUCCAUGAUGUCUCACUUAAAACGACUUGAGACUCUUCAGAUAAUGGGAUGACUCAGAGACAGGUGAGGGGAGAGGCACAGAUGGAGGGAGAUGUGCAUGGUUCUGACUGCAGGCACAAAUGCCCCCCCACCCCUAUAAUUCAUGCACUGGAGGUUGUCACACGGUUAGUGUGAUUAAUUAAUAUUUGCCACCCAAAGCCUGAUUCAAGCACUGCCUAAGGAGGAAGACAGAGAAUCAAGAGAAUGCUUCUUCAUUUGUGUUGUCAGGGUUACAAAGAGGAAAGGUGGCCUAAAUCAAGCACACAAGGGACAGCAGCUUCAUCAUAAUUAUAAUGAGCCCGCUUGUGUGUGCAUGUGUGUGUGCACGGGAGAGAGUGCAUAUGGCU
Long non-coding RNA from Clupea harengus (Atlantic herring), 1378 nucleotides. NCBI's taxonomy places the organism in Eukaryota, Metazoa, Chordata, Actinopteri, Clupeiformes, Clupeidae. The record is from Ensembl.